AGAACGAACGCUGGCGGCAUGCCUAACACAUGCAAGUCGAACGCUUCCGGGGCUUCGGUCGCGGAGGAGUGGCGCACGGGUGAGUAGCGCGUGGGAACCUGCCCUGUUGUGGGGGAUAACCGAGGGAAACUUCGGCUAAUACCGCAUACGCCCCGGGACUUGGUCUUCGGAUUAGGUCUGGGGGGAAAGAUUGAUCGCAGCAGGAGGGGCCCGCGUCGGAUUAGCUGGUUGGUGGGGUAACGGCUCACCAAGGCGAUGAUCCGUAGCUGGUCUGAGAGGAUGAUCAGCCACACUGGGACUGAGACACGGCCCAGACUCCUACGGGAGGCAGCAGUGGGGAAUAUUGGACAAUGGGGGCAACCCUGAUCCAGCAAUGCCGCGUGAGUGAUGAAGGCCUUAGGGUUGUAAAGCUCUUUCGCCCGCGACGAUGAUGACGGUAGCGGGAGAAGAACCGCCCGGCUAACUUCGUGCCAGCAGCCGC
RNAcentral lists this ribosomal RNA (481 nucleotides) under uncultured bacterium. RNAcentral describes it as "SSU rRNA". It matches the Rfam family "Bacterial small subunit ribosomal RNA", at positions 26 to 518 of the family's 1533-position model. The record is from RNAcentral.